CCUACGGGAGGCAUCAGUAGGGAAUAUUGCUCAAUGGGGGAAACCCUGAAGCAGCAACGCCGCGUGGAGGCUGAAGGUUUUCGGAUUGUAAACUCCUUUUGUUAGAGGAGAUAAUGACGGUAUCUAACGAAUAAGCACCGGCUAACUCCGUGCCAGCCGCCGCGGUCAUACGGAGGGGGCAAGAGUUACUCGGAAUCACUGGGCGUAAAGAGCGCGUAGGCGGGAUAGCAAGUCAGAUGUGAAAUCCUAUGGCUUAACCAUAGAACUGCAUUUGAAACUGUUAUUCUAGAGUAUGGGAGAGGUAGGUGGAAUUCUUGGUGUAGGGGUAAAAUCCGUAGAGAUCAAGAGGAAGACUCAUUGCGAAGGCGACCUGCUAGAACAUAACUGACGCUGAUGCGCGAAAGCGUGGGGAGCAAACAGGAUUAGAUACCCCUGUAGUC
RNAcentral lists this ribosomal RNA (440 nucleotides) under uncultured bacterium. RNAcentral's name for it is "partial 16S ribosomal RNA". It matches the Rfam family "Bacterial small subunit ribosomal RNA", at positions 338 to 795 of the family's 1533-position model. The record is from RNAcentral.